UACGGGGGGGGCAAGCGUUGUUCGGAAUUACUGGGCGUAAAGGGCUCGUAGGCGGCCAACUAAGUCAUACGUGAAAUCCCUCGGCUUAACCGGGGAACUGCGUCUGAUACUGGAUGGCUUGAGUUCGGGAGAGGGAUGCGGAAUUCCAGGUGUAGCGGUGAAAUGCGUAGAUAUCGGGAGGAACACCGGUGGCGAAGGCGGUUCUCUGGGCCUUACCUGACGCUGAGGAGCGAAAGCGUGGGGAGCGAACAGG
RNAcentral lists this ribosomal RNA (253 nucleotides) under uncultured bacterium. RNAcentral describes it as "partial 16S ribosomal RNA". It matches the Rfam family "Bacterial small subunit ribosomal RNA", at positions 524 to 776 of the family's 1533-position model. The record is from RNAcentral.